Kaistia sp. SCN 65-12 is the source of this 92-nucleotide non-coding RNA. The record is from Rfam. Lineage: Bacteria; Pseudomonadati; Pseudomonadota; Alphaproteobacteria; Hyphomicrobiales; Kaistiaceae.
GUCCAGUUCGCAACGGACCAGAUCCAGAGACCUCCAAGUGUCAGGAUCGCGAUCGGCCGAAGUCUCGUCGUCAUGACGAGGAGGCCGAUCGC